This 448-nucleotide ribosomal RNA is filed under the name uncultured bacterium. Its description in RNAcentral is "partial 16S ribosomal RNA". It matches the Rfam family "Bacterial small subunit ribosomal RNA", at positions 29 to 523 of the family's 1533-position model. The record is from RNAcentral.
AGCGAACGCUGGCGGCAGGCCUAACACAUGCAAGUCGAACGAACUCUUCGGAGUUAGUGGCGGACGGGUGAGUAACACGUGGGAACGUGCCUUUAGGUUCGGAAUAACUCAGGGAAACUUGUGCUAAUACCGAAUGUGCCCUUCGGGGAAAAGAUUUAUCGCCUUUAGAGCGGCCCGCGUCUGAUUAGCUAGUUGGUGAGGUGAAGGCUCACCAAGGCGACGAUCAGUAGCUGGUCUGAGAGGAUGAUCAGCCACAUUGGGACUGAGACACGGCCCAAACUCCUACGGGAGGCAGCAGUGGGGAAUCUUGCGCAAUGGGCGAAAGCCUGACGCAGCCAUGCCGCGUGAAUGAUGAAGGUCUUAGGAUUGUAAAUUCUUUCACCGGGGACGAUAAUGACGGUACCCGGAGAAGAAGCCCCGGCUAACUUCGUGCCAGCCGCCGCGGUAA